This 120-nucleotide ribosomal RNA is filed under the name Glarea lozoyensis ATCC 20868. Lineage: Eukaryota; Fungi; Ascomycota; Leotiomycetes; Helotiales; Helotiaceae. The record is from RNAcentral.
ACAUACGACCAUAGACUGAGGAGAACUAGGCAUCCCGUCCGCUCUGCCAAAUAUAAGCCUCAGAUCGGUAGAUUAGUAGUUGGGUGGGUGACCACCAGCGAAUACCUACUGUUGUAUGUU